RNAcentral lists this ribosomal RNA (253 nucleotides) under uncultured bacterium. RNAcentral's name for it is "partial 16S ribosomal RNA". It matches the Rfam family "Bacterial small subunit ribosomal RNA", at positions 524 to 776 of the family's 1533-position model. The record is from RNAcentral.
UACGUAGGGGGCGAGCGUUGCCCGGAAUUACUGGGCGUAAAGAGCGCGUAGGCGGUUUGUUGAGUUGUGCGUGAAAACUCACAGCUCAACUGUGGGCGUGCGGGCGAUACGGGCAGACUGGAGUACUGCAGGGGAGACUGGAAUUCCUGGUGUAGCGGUGAAAUGCGCAGAUAUCAGGAAGAACACCCGUGGCGAAGGCGGCUCUCUGGGACGGUACUGACGCUGAGACGCGAAAGCGUGGGGAGCGAACAGG